AUUGAACGCUGGCGGCAGGCCUAACACAUGCAAGUCGAACGAGUGGCGGACGGGUGAGUAAUGUCUGGGAAACUGCCCGAUGGUGGGGGAUAACUACUGGAAACGGUAGCUAAUACCGCAUACCAUCGGAUGUGCCCAGAUGGGCUUUGCUUGUGGGUGGGGUGACGGCUCACCUAGGCGACGAUCCCUAGCUGGUCUGAGAGGAUGACCAGCCACACUGGAACGGAGACACGGUCCAGACUCCUACGGGAGGGAGCAGUGGAGAAUAUUGCACAGUUGGCGCAAGCCUGAUGCAGCCAUGCCGCGUGUAUGAAGAAGGCCUUCGGGUUGUAAAGUACUUUCAGCGAGGAGGCGUUACUCGCAGAAGAAGCACCGGCUAACUCCGUGCCAGCAGCCGCGGUAAUUC
This 406-nucleotide ribosomal RNA is filed under the name uncultured bacterium. RNAcentral's name for it is "partial 16S ribosomal RNA". It matches the Rfam family "Bacterial small subunit ribosomal RNA", at positions 30 to 526 of the family's 1533-position model. The record is from RNAcentral.